RNAcentral lists this ribosomal RNA (500 nucleotides) under uncultured bacterium. RNAcentral's name for it is "partial 16S ribosomal RNA". It matches the Rfam family "Bacterial small subunit ribosomal RNA", at positions 30 to 523 of the family's 1533-position model. The record is from RNAcentral.
AUUGAACGCUGGCGGAAUGCUUUACACAUGCAAGUCGAACGGCAGCACGAACUUCGGUCUGGUGGCGAGUGGCGAACGGGUGAGUAAUGUAUCGGAACGUGCCCAGUCGUGGGGGAUAACGUAGUGAAAAUUACGCUAAUACCGCAUACGAUCUAUGGAUGAAAGCGGGGGAUCGCAAGACCUCGCGCGAUUGGAGCGGCCGAUACCAGGUUAGGUAGUUGGUGGGGUAAAGGCCCACCAAGCCAACGAUCUGUAGCUGGUCUGAGAGGACGACCAGCCACACUGGAACUGAGACACGGUCCAGACUCCUACGGGAGGCAGCAGUGGGGAAUUUUGGACAAUGGGCGAAAGCCUGAUCCAGCCAUUCCGCGUGCAGGAUGAAGGCCCUCGGGUUGUAAACUGCUUUUGUACAGAACGAAAAGGUUUCUACUAAUACUAGGAGCUCAUGACGGUACUGUAAGAAUAAGCACCGGCUAACUACGUGCCAGCCGCCGCAGUAA